GACGAACGCUGGCGGCGUGCUUAACACAUGCAAGUCGAACGGAAAGGCCCUGCUUUUGUGGGGUGCUCGAGUGGCGAACGGGUGAGUAACACGUGAGUAACCUGCCCUUGACUUUGGGAUAACUUCAGGAAACUGGGGCUAAUACCGGAUAGGAGCUCCUGCUGCAUGGUGGGGGUUGGAAAGUUUCGGCGGUUGGGGAUGGACUCGCGGCUUAUCAGCUUGUUGGUGGGGUAGUGGCUUACCAAGGCUUUGACGGGUAGCCGGCCUGAGAGGGUGACCGGCCACAUUGGGACUGAGAUACGGCCCAGACUCCUACGGGAGGCGGCAGUGGGGAAUAUUGCACAAUGGGCGGAAGCCUGAUGCAGCAACGCCGCGUGCGGGAUGACGGCCUUCGGGUUGUAAACCGCUUUCGCCUGUGACGAAGCGUGAGUGACGGUAAUGGGUAAAGAAGCACCGGCUAACUACG
This 466-nucleotide ribosomal RNA is filed under the name uncultured bacterium. RNAcentral describes it as "partial 16S ribosomal RNA". It matches the Rfam family "Bacterial small subunit ribosomal RNA", at positions 28 to 505 of the family's 1533-position model. The record is from RNAcentral.